Long non-coding RNA from Octopus sinensis (East Asian common octopus), 218 nucleotides. RefSeq lists it as uncharacterized. Lineage: Eukaryota; Metazoa; Mollusca; Cephalopoda; Octopoda; Octopodidae. The transcript is spliced from 3 exons. The record is from RefSeq and is a predicted model, not a curated record.
UGUGUGGUGUCAGGUCAUGCUAGAAAUAGCACAUCUUUUGAGGUGAAAUACGUUGAAUGCACUCGAAAAAUAUCUAUGGAAAAACAUUAUUUCACACCGAGAUUACGAACGGGUCUUUUACGAAAUAUUUACCGCAUCUUUAAAGUCAUUUUCACUUGAAAAUAUUUCUUAAUAUGCCGAAAAACAUUUUUGUAAUGGUAUUCUCUCGCAUAUAAUUU